UACAGAGGGGGCAAGCGUUGUUCGGAAUUACUGGGCGUAAAGGGCGCGUAGGCGGCCUUCUAAGUCGAACGUGAAAUCCCCGGGCUCAACCCGGGAACUGCGUCCGAUACUGGAAGGCUUGAAUCCGGGAGAGGGAUGCGGAAUUCCAGGUGUAGCGGUGAAAUGCGUAGAUAUCUGGAGGAACACCGGUGGCGAAGGCGGCAUCCUGGACCGGCAUUGACGCUGAGGCGCGAAAGCGGUGGGGAGCA
This 248-nucleotide ribosomal RNA is filed under the name uncultured bacterium. RNAcentral's name for it is "partial 16S ribosomal RNA". It matches the Rfam family "Bacterial small subunit ribosomal RNA", at positions 524 to 770 of the family's 1533-position model. The record is from RNAcentral.